CAUGCCAAAAGGAGCCCAUAUAUUUGAGGAAAUUUUUCAAUUUGAGAAAGUAGGCAGUUGAUGAUGUACUCAUGCAAGAUAUAUGCUAAUAAAUACUAACUUCAAAAUUUAAGCAAGGGCUUUGUAUUAACCUGUAAUCUCAACUACAUCUCAUCACUGAGCUUGAACUGUGUGAACAUGAUUAGCUUUUCUUCUGUGAUUUUUUUUUUUGGAAAGGCCAAUUAAUGUAUUUUUUUCAUCUCCCUCCAAAUUUCUGAUAAGGCACAAGUAAUUUUCAGAGUUAAACUCUGGCUUUCACCCAUAUUUUGUCCUGAUUUUGUGAGUCCUGACUCAAAAAUAUCGAUAGCUUUCUUCUGCAGAUAAAACACAACUCAAUUGGCCAUGAAACCAAGACCUUCCAUAAUUUAGUCUAAAUCCAUCUUUCCAAAACUACUUUCCUUAACUCUCCUUUAUUAACUCUUCACUCCAACAAAUAAUCCUGUCUCUUUUAUGUUUUCACCCACCCUGUCUCCCCUCCAAAACUAUUUCCGCCCCCCACCAGCUACACACCCAACUGCUCUUCUGUGUCACGAAUGUCACUGUUUUUACAAAGAUUUUUGUAAUUGCUACCCUCUCCACCCUCCUUCCCUAGCUAGAAGCUAUCUCUCCCCUCUUCUAAACCCACACAGCUCACCAUUUGGACAACUUUUAGGAUGUUUAGCACUUUCCACCACACACUAUUGUUUUAAGUACAGUUAUCCCCCAGUAUCCAUGGGGUAUUGGUUUCAGGACACCUGUAGAACACCAACAUCUUCAGAUGCUCACGUCUCUUUUCUAAAAUGGUGUAGUAUUUGCAUAUAGCAUAUGCACAUCCUCCCGUAUACUUUAAAUCAACCCUAGACUACUUAUAAUACCUAACAUAAUGUAAAUGCUAUGUAAAUAGUUGUUACACUGUAUCAUUUAGGGAAGAAAGAUAGGAAAAAAGUCUGCACAUGUUCAGUACAGACAACCAUCCAUAUAUACAGAUCUAUAGAGAGAGAUCCACAGUUGGUUAAAUCCAUAGAAGCAGAGCAGAGUUUCUUUAUGAAGCCAAAUAUGUAUCUUCAUAAUGCCCCAGAGGGCAGAACUUCGGUCUGAUUUGUAGGUAAUGAGGUCUAAUGAAAAUAGCUAGGGAAAAGACCCUGGGGGAAAAUCUUUUCCUCCACCACUUACUAGCUGGCUCUGCCUAGUAUUACACUUGCUUGCUUUCUCUUUUAGCAUAUGGGCAAUUUAUCCAAUCACUCUGAGCCUAGUUUCCACAUCUAUAAAAUAUGGUGAGAACUUAACAAGUUAAAUUUUCUAGCACGUAGUAGAUAUUUAAAAGCAUGUUAAAUAAAUUCGUGCCAUUAUAACGUUGGAGUCUGUUACUUAAAAUGUUUUCCUCAAAAGUCUCAAUGGCUGACUCGCAAAGAAACAGAUUUGUUCAUGGAUCUGUUAAAAUAAACAAGAGCAAAAUAGCCUUUGCUAUUUUUGUACAGUGUUAAUCAUUCUGUUCCUUAAAGAAAAGUCCCAGGGAACUACGUACUGUGGGGAAGGCCCUUUCUAGAAGGAGCGCCAGCAGAGAGCAGGAGGAGCAGGGGUUGGCCUUCACAAAGCUGGUGCUGUCUCCAUCUGCACCACAUUUCAUUUUAUUCAUUUUGUGCCCCUCAUCUGAACCCUCAGUUUCAGGUUUGGGAAACAGAACCAAAUGGAACAUGAAACGUAAAACAAGGUCCAGGCAAACACAGUGAGCACUCUCUGGCUUGAAGUCAAAACUUGGCUGAACCACAAAGCUUCACCUGGUUUUGAGUAAAAACCACACUGAACCACCUUUUUUUUUUUUUUCAUGGUUUCGGUUUGCAAAUGGGGUUUCAUGCAAAGCUUGCCCUCGUUUCCGUAGAGUUCCCUGGCAGAGCACGGGCAAGUCUUCAGCUAAUAUGGACUCUGCCCUGUCAACACCCCUGGCCAGCCUGUGUGGAGAUGACUGGUGCUUACUUAUUGUUCGGACCUCAGAAGGCCUGGGUGUUGAGGAGCAGUCUUGCUCGUGUGAUGAUUAAGACAACAGAAAACUAUCAGGCUUAUCAAGAAGAAGUACAGUCAAUUAGUUUCCCUCUUUGCACUUGGCUUUUACAAAAACAGAGAAGAAAAUUUUUGAAGAGCAAUGAAUUUAUGAAGGGGCAGGAGGAGCAUAGCCUAAAACUCUAUCUAUGUGUGGAGGCAAAGAGAUCUGAAACAAUUCUUUGGAUAAUCCAGGCCAAAAUUCUGAUUCAUCAGAAAUAUUGAGAUAAUAAAGGCAAAGUGGGCUAGAAGAGUGCACUUGUGGAAGGUAUGAAAAGAAGCUCAAUUUUCCCCUCACUGGCUAAAUGCAGACAAAGCUAUGAUAUCAGCGAUGCAUUUCUCCCUGGAGAUUUGUAGUGGAUUUGGUGUCAUUCGUGUGCUAUGCUGGCAAUAGUAGAAAGGAUUAAAGUGUUCCUUAGAAGCUAACAGUGUCAGAUGAGACAUUUGCCCUGGGUAGUGAUGACGUCCCUGGGGGAACGAGGUCUAAUAUAAAGGGUCUCCAAGCUGAGUUUUCUAUGACAUGAAGGGAGGUUUAUGUUGUUCUCUUGGUAAAUUAAACUAGUACUUGGGAUUUACAAGCGGAUUUAUAGGAGGAUUGUAAUGAUGAAUGCAUGAAGAGUGGAUUGAAUCUGUGAUAAAACAUUUAUUAUAUCAAUACACGCAAAGUUUGGAAAACUAUAAGAGAAAAUAAAUGGCCUGUUAAAAAUCACUUAUAUAUGUGUAGUAUCAUAAAAUUCACAUACAAAAAAUUCCCACACAUGAUGACACUGGAUCCGGGUCCUGGAAAGAUUAUGUGUCAUGUCCAAUCCAGGUCAGGAAGCCAGUAUGUUGCAGGGAUUUGACCUUCCCUUGUUGUUCACCAUUCACAGACAAAAAUUUGUCCUCGGCAUGAUAACUGUGUAGCAAGGGAGACAAUCAAAUACACCAAACACUACAAUAUAACAACAUCACAGGCACCAAAGUGGGACUAUCUUUUAGAGAUGUGAAGAGCCUGAGUAAAAGAUUCCUACAUCUGCCUCCUGUCUUUGUGCAUGUAAGCAUACAGGACUGAAAACUAGGAGAUAGUCUCUAAGAGACAGAUGGAGGGAGAAAGAGCCUUAGUACGUAUCUCUAGUGAGCUGGGAAGUCCAUUCAAGUGAUUAGUUUGGGAUAUAUUGGUUUUGAGGAUUCCAUGAAAUACACAACAAGAGCUCUCAAGCUUCUCCAGCAAUGUCAGUCCAGAAUUCCAGGGAAAUAGUUCUGGGCUGGAGACAUGAAUUUGGGAGUCACUCAUGUAAAAAUAAUAGAUUAAUGAUCUCACCCAGAGCAAGAUGUUGAGGGAGAAAAGUCAAAGGGAGCAUCAGGCUCUCUGCAACCCAUGGGUCCUGUUGCAUGCAACUGGACAACAGGGGAUUAUUAGAAAAGAAGAUGCCUGCCAAAUGAUGCGUGCUGUAUGGAAGGCUGCACGCCACCAACCUCAUCCUUUGUAGAGUUAAUCAAUGCCAAACCACUUUGUCAUUUAAAUGGAAAGUCUUGUUUCUCUAAACCUAACAUUUCAACACCUGUUUACAAAAAA
Molecule: long non-coding RNA, 3610 nt
Organism: Macaca fascicularis (crab-eating macaque)
Lineage: Eukaryota; Metazoa; Chordata; Mammalia; Primates; Cercopithecidae
Source: Ensembl